AACGUAGGUACCGAGCGUUAUCCGGAUUUACUGGGCGUAAAGCGUGUUCAGGCGGCCUGGCAAGUCGGGCAUGAAAUCUCUCGGCUCAACCUGGAGACGCCACCCGAUACUGCCAUGGCUAGAGUCCGGUAGGGGACCACGGAAUUCCUGGUGUAGCGGUGAAAUGCGCAGAUAUCAGGAGGAACACCGGUGGCGAAGGCGGUGGUCUGGGCCGGAACUGACGCUGAGGAGCGAAAGCGUGGGGAGCGAACAGG
RNAcentral lists this ribosomal RNA (254 nucleotides) under uncultured bacterium. Its description in RNAcentral is "partial 16S ribosomal RNA". It matches the Rfam family "Bacterial small subunit ribosomal RNA", at positions 524 to 776 of the family's 1533-position model. The record is from RNAcentral.